This 202-nucleotide ribosomal RNA is filed under the name uncultured bacterium. RNAcentral's name for it is "partial 16S ribosomal RNA". It matches the Rfam family "Bacterial small subunit ribosomal RNA", at positions 1300 to 1500 of the family's 1533-position model. The record is from RNAcentral.
GUAGUCUGCAACUCGACUACAUGAAGCUGGAAUCGCUAGUAAUCGCGGAUCAGAAUGCCGCGGUGAAUACGUUCCCGGGUCUUGUACACACCGCCCGUCACACCAUGGGAGUCGAUAACGCCCGAAGUCAGUGACCCAACCUGUAAGGAGGGAGCUGCCGAAGGCGGGAUUGAUAACUGGGGUGAAGUCGUAACAAGGUAUC